Molecule: ribosomal RNA, 493 nt
Filed under: uncultured bacterium
Lineage: Bacteria
Description: partial 16S ribosomal RNA
Rfam family: Bacterial small subunit ribosomal RNA
Source: RNAcentral
AUUGAACGCUGGCGGCAUGCCUUACACAUGCAAGUCGAACGGUAACAGGUUAAGCUGACGAGUGGCGAACGGGUGAGUAACAUAUCGGAACGUGCCCAGUCGUGGGGGAUAACGCAGCGAAAGCUGUGCUAAUACCGCAUACGAUCUACGGAUGAAAGCGGGGGAUCGCAAGACCUCGCGCGAUUGGAGCGGCCGAUAUCAGAUUAGCUAGUUGGGGAGGGAAAGGCUCACCAAGGCAACGAUCUGUAGCUGGUCUGAGAGGACGACCAGCCACAAUGGACGCGAGGCACGGUCCAGUCUCCUACGGGAGGCAGCAGUGAGGAAUUUUGGACAAUGGGCGCAAGCCUGAUCCAGCAAUGCCGCGUGCAGGAUGAAGGCCUUCGGGUUGUAAACUGCUUUUGUACGGAGCGAAACGGCUCUCUCUAAUACAGAGGGCUAAUGACGGUACCGUAAGAAUAAGCACCGGCUAACUACGUGCCAGCAGCCGCAGUAA